RNAcentral lists this ribosomal RNA (474 nucleotides) under uncultured bacterium. RNAcentral describes it as "SSU rRNA". It matches the Rfam family "Bacterial small subunit ribosomal RNA", at positions 26 to 518 of the family's 1533-position model. The record is from RNAcentral.
AGGACGAACGCUGGCGGCGUGCUUAACACAUGCAAGUCGAGCGGAAAGGCCCUUCGGGGUACUCGAGCGGCGAACGGGUGAGUAACACGUGAGUAACCUGCCCUUGGCUCUGGGAUAGCUCCGGGAAACCGGAAUUAAUACCGGAUAUGACUUCGGCCGACAUCGGCUGCGGUGGAAAGAUUUAUCGGCCAGGGAUGGGCUCGCGGCCUAUCAGCUUGUUGGUGGGGUAACGGCCUACCAAGGCGACGACGGGUAGCCGGCCUGAGAGGGCGACCGGCCACACUGGGACUGAGGCACGGCCCAGACUCCUACGGGAGGCAGCAGUGGGAAUAUUGCGCAAUGGGCGAAAGCCUGACGCAGCGACGCCGCGUGGGGGAUGAAGGCCUUCGGGUUGUAAACCCCUUUCGGCAGGGACGAAGCGAAAGUGACGGUACCUGCAGAAGAAGCGCCGGCUAACUACGUGCCAGCAGCCGC